GUGCACCAGAUACGAGCCUGACAGUCCACCUUGUGUUUUCUAUGGCUGCACGGCUUCAAACGGUGCAAGAGCAGCAUUAGCCCUGAGGUUUAAGCUUUUCAGUGGGAAGCAUCACUGAUGAGUUAUGACUCAGAGGCACAAGA
RNAcentral lists this small nucleolar RNA (143 nucleotides) under Mastacembelus armatus (zig-zag eel). Its description in RNAcentral is "Small Cajal body specific RNA 1 (ENSMAMG00000007187.2)". It matches the Rfam family "Small Cajal body specific RNA 1". Rfam says of the family: scaRNAs are a specific class of small nuclear RNAs which localise to the Cajal bodies and guide the modification of RNA polymerase II transcribed spliceosomal RNAs U1, U2, U4, U5 and U12. ACA35 belong to the H/ACA box class of guide RNAs as it has the predicted hairpin-hinge-hairpin-tail structure, conserved H/ACA-box motifs and is found associated with GAR1. Lineage: Eukaryota; Metazoa; Chordata; Actinopteri; Synbranchiformes; Mastacembelidae. The record is from Rfam by way of RNAcentral.